CCUACGGGAGGCAGCAGUGGGGAAUCUUGCGCAAUGGACGAAAGUCUGACGCAGCCACGCCGCGUGAGUGAAGAAGGCCUUCGGGUUGUAAAGCUCUGUCGGAAGGGACAAAAACUCUAUAGGUUAAUAGCCUAUGGAAUUGAUGGUACCUUUAAAGGAAGCACCGGCUAACUUCGUGCCAGCAGCCGCGGUAAUACGAAGGGUGCAAGCGUUGCUCGGAAUUAUUGGGCGUAAAGGGUAGGUAGGUGGUUACGUAUGUCUGGGGUGAAAUCCCUGAGCUUAACUCAGGAAGUGCCUUGGAAACGGCGUAACUAGAGUGCUAGAGAGGUUCGUGGAAUUCCCAGUGUAGCGGUGAAAUGCGUAGAGAUUGGGAGGAACACCAGAGGCGAAGGCGGCGAACUGGAUAGCAACUGACACUGAACUACGAAAGCGUGGGUAGCAAACAGGAUUAGAUACCCGGGUAGUC
RNAcentral lists this ribosomal RNA (466 nucleotides) under uncultured Pseudomonadota bacterium. RNAcentral's name for it is "bacterial SSU rRNA". It matches the Rfam family "Bacterial small subunit ribosomal RNA", at positions 338 to 795 of the family's 1533-position model. The record is from RNAcentral. Lineage: Bacteria; Pseudomonadati; Pseudomonadota.